AUUGAACGCUGGCGGCAGGCCUAACACAUGCAAGUCGAGCGGAUGAAGGGAGCUUGCUCCUGGAUUCAGCGGCGGACGGGUGAGUAAUGCCUAGGAAUCUGCCUGGUAGUGGGGGAUAACGUCCGGAAACGGGCGCUAAUACCGCAUACGUCCUGAGGGAGAAAGUGGGGGAUCUUCGGACCUCACGCUAUCAGAUGAGCCUAGGUCGGAUUAGCUAGUUGGUGGGGUAAAGGCCUACCAAGGCGACGAUCCGUAACUGGUCUGAGAGGAUGAUCAGUCACACUGGAACUGAGACACGGUCCAGACUCCUACGGGAGGCAGCAGUGGGGAAUAUUGGACAAUGGGCGAAAGCCUGAUCCAGCCAUGCCGCGUGUGUGAAGAAGGUCUGCGGAUUGUAAAGCACUUUAAGUUGGGAGGAAGGGCAGUAAGUUAAUACCUUGCUGUUUGGACGUUACCAACAGAAUAAGCACCGGCUAACUUCGG
This 483-nucleotide ribosomal RNA is filed under the name uncultured bacterium. Its description in RNAcentral is "partial 16S ribosomal RNA". It matches the Rfam family "Bacterial small subunit ribosomal RNA", at positions 30 to 506 of the family's 1533-position model. The record is from RNAcentral.